GGAUUAGAUACCCUGGUAGUCCACACCGUAAACGCUGUCUACUAGCUGUUUGGACCUUCAUUAGACUGAGUAGCGAAGCUAACGCGCUAAGUAGACCGCCUGGGGAGUACGGCCGCAAGGUUAAAACUCAAAUGAAUUGACGGGGGCCCGCACAAGCGGUGGAGCAUGUGGUUUAAUUCGAUGCAACGCGAAGAACCUUACCUACACUUGACAUGCAGAGAACUUUCCAGAGAUGGAUUGGUGCCUUCGGGAACUCUGACACAGGUGCUGCAUGGCUGUCGUCAGCUCGUGUCG
Molecule: ribosomal RNA, 294 nt
Filed under: uncultured bacterium
Lineage: Bacteria
Description: partial 16S ribosomal RNA
Rfam family: Bacterial small subunit ribosomal RNA
Source: RNAcentral